AUAUACCAAUACCCUACAACCCAACAAAUGAAGCCCAAACUUAUCAGGGUCCAAAUCUUCCCAACUUUAUGUCACGACCCAAAUCGAUGGGCCGCGACGGGCAUCCGGUACCUUACUCAACCGCGUACCAACAUAACGUAUUUUUUCGUAUUAUACUUUAUAAAUAACUGAGCUAGAGAGGCUUCCGUGAAAUAGGUAGAAUACAACAUGUAAUACCAACUUAUACAUAAGGCAUAUGGGCCUCUAAGACUAAAAUAACCACUCGUACACUAAACAUACGCCGACAAGGCCAUACAAUAUUUUACGUACAUGAUAUCUGUCUACAAGCCUCUAAGGAUACAUAAUUGUCAUAAAGGUCGGGACAGAGUCCAGCCAUACCAGACAAUACACAUCUAAAUCAUAUAGACCAAACAAGUAACUCCUGAGCAAAUGAAGUGCACCGACAUCUUCCGCUGAGCUGAUCGCCAACUUGGAGGACUUUCGACCUAUCUAUCGAGACCUACAAGCAUGAAAUGCAGCGUCCCCAGGCAAAAAGGAUGUUAAUACAAAUAAUGUACCGAGUAUAUAAGGAAUGAAAAUGAGUAAAUAAUAGACAUCUGGGAAGCAUGGAGUGAAAGCCUCGACAUGUACGUCUGCAUAGCUCUGUGAAUAAUUUCAUUUUUUAUAAUAUCAUGCAUAUGUGUAUAAAUGUCACGUCAUUCAUAGGUAUAUGCGUUCAUAAUAUCAUCAAGCCUCCGAGGGAAUCCAUCAUAUCAUUUCGAUCACUGUGGGCAAAUUAUCAACGUAUACCAGCCGAUCAGGUGGUGGUGUGUAUAUAACGUCGUAGCCUUUUCCCAUAUCUCAUAUACAUAUAAAUACAUAUAUACGCAUAUAUAACGCCAUCUGGUCAUGGGUCAAUGUGCAUGUAUAAAGGCAUGAAAUGCAUAUGAAAUACGUUAAUAAAAUCCCUCGAUACGUCAUAAGACCAUUAUGCCUCUGAUUAAUAUCAUAAAAUAAACUUUAUAAACUUACAUAUUUUCUGAGACCCAUGAACAGAUGAUAGAAUAAUAGGACAUAUGGAGAAUCACGAACAUACACACCUCUAAUAUUUCUAUGAAUAGAAUUAUUUUUGGAAGUUGUGCAUUUGCUCAUUUCGUAUGUUUUGUAUAGAUCAUGCCAAAAGAAAGAAGGGAUAGCCUUAACGUACCUGAGCUGAUUCUCUUAACAAUUCCUCUAACACCGUUGAUUGCGACAGCACGUAACUGCGGAUCAAAGUAGGGAAACAUUUGUGUGGUAUUCUUGAGAAAUAUUGCACCGUACUCCCUUAGAAUCAUAAAAUCCAAUUAUCGUAGUGUUAUAAGGGUUCAUAAUAAUCCCCUUGAGAAAGAAAGUUCCAUACGAAAGAGUAUCCAUGUUGUUGGAUCUUUGCAAGUAAUGUUAUCUAUAAGAAACCAAAAUAAGAAUGUUGAUGGUCAUAUCUUUUAAAUUGUAUUAAAGUAAGAAACCAAAUGAGGCAACUUAUGUCCAAUUCUCUUAAUUAUCCAAAGGAUACAUGUAACCAAGGCAUCCUUAUGUAUUUUUACUCAUCAUGGACAUUUUUCCACUUUGGCUUGGCUUAGCUUAAUGCCAUGUGGCAACUCCAAAAAAAUGUCCUUAUCCACAUAAUCCUUUUUAAUACCACAAUUAUCCCUACCAUUAAUCAAUUAUCCCCAUAAUUAGGAAUCAAAUUACUUAAAAUACUACUACUUUUGACAUACCUUAUACACCUCACUAUCAUGGCCGUGUGGUAUCUUGUAUGGUACUAGUCCAUAUAUAUCAGAUAUUUUAGCUCGAGCCGUAUUUUAUCCCAAAUGCCAGAUUUCAAUGGAAUUCAUUUCCUUCGAUUUGCUUACCCUCUCACCUUCACGAAUUUACUUAUUACUUGUUUGAAAUAGCAUAAUCCUUAAAAUCUCCAUAUAAUCUUUUCCUUGGACUGAUGUCUAUUAUCUUACGACAAAUUCAACUUACAAUACUACAAGGUGCAACAUCGUCGUAAUUUAGUACUUGUCACGCCCCAAAAUCGAAGAGCGCGACCGGCAGUCAACCGGGUAAACCCGACUGAGCAAGCCAGUUAGAUUCCAUUCUACCCAAUUUCAUCUUUGAAUAAAGAAGAGAUGUACUGCAUUAAUCAUAUUUUAACAAUAUUUCAUUAAUAACUCUCAUUUCAUUUACAUUGGCAACUUCAUUCAUAAUUUUCAAAAUAUUACAAGUUUAUUGAUUUAUUAAGAACAUGUUUAGCAAAUACCAACAUUUCUAGUUCAGUUCCCAAUAUCAAACACCACCGACAACCUGUCUAUGGAGCCUCUAAAUACAACUGGAGAGUAAUAUGAAAAUACCGGCAACAACGCUCCAGUUAUACCUCAAAAUAUAAAGUACAUGAGAAAUAGAUGAUACAAGACCCUGAAAUGAAGUGCGGCUCACCAAGUCAGCUGGAAAGAGUGCACUGCUAUCACUAGUCGAUGCCGCCUGCUGUGGGACCACCUGUAUCAAUUAAAGAUACAGCGCCCCCCGGAAAAUUAUAUAUAUAUAUAUAUAUAUAUAUGCCGAACUCAUUUGAUAGGUGUAUAUAUGCCGAACUCAUUUGGAAUUUUUAGCCUAUUAUGUAAUUUUCUAAUUUAACUUAGACUUAGGCCUUUACUUGGACCCCAAAUUACUCAUUAUAUGACUUAUACACUUAUUUACAGAAUCCAAUUGAUGUCCAUCAUGUUAAUAGCACGUAAAAUAUUAUAAUUAGCCUACCUGGAACCACGAAAUCCUAAAUUACUUAGCGAAAUUUUUCGGGGUCUUCCAUUCUCCCCCCCCCCCUUAGGAUCAUUCAUCCUCGAAUAAGGAGUAGAGUUCGCUCCAAAUACUUAACAUAAUAUAUCUCUUUUCUCACCUACCUCAAGCCCCUAAAUUUUGACUAACUCCUAAUUUUUUCAUAAAUUUCGGCAGCGUCUCCUUUGUAACUAGGCCUAUCCACCUGCUAGAGAAUUACCAAAACCAUUCUAACAACACAUCCACAACGAGACAAAAUAACACAAUGUAUAUAUCAAUAAUACUAAUCUCAACAUUACAAGCACUACAUUAUCAUAAGGAUACCUGGACAUGAUUUGCACAUUUUUAAAUAAUAACACCUAGAAGGUACCUUUCAAGUCAAAACCAAUUGCUAUACAAUCAAGAGAAAAUACCUUAUUCCACAAUACUCUCGGCCCUCAAAUGUUGCCUCUUAUACUUACAGACUUUGCCAUAACACAUUCGCGGAAACAACCUCCACUCCCAAACAUACCUAACAAGGAUGACAAAUAGAUACCCAUCAUAGGCCAACUAUCUAUUACCUCCACCUUCACUAAUUUCCACCAGAAUUAUACAUAAAGAAUUUCCAAUUGCCUCCUUCGACAUAGACACAUGAAACGCCGGGACAUGGAGGCAAUUGCAAUAAUAGGGAAAAUGUCAUACUCCUAUAGAGUGAGCAAGUGCAUAAACUGUUACCCAUAUCUCUCUCCUUGAGCUGUCUGGGCACAUAGGAAAUCAUCCUACCGUAUUGCAUCAGUACCGCGUCGAGACCAAUACGCGAUGCACCACAAUACACAAUAUAAAAACAUCCUUUCUAAGCACUUAAUUUGCGUUGAAAGAAUGUGUAAAUGCCUCAAAUCCUAUUCCCAUCUCACCUCAUCAUUUCUGUAUGAGUUAAACUUACCGAUUUUGGAGGUCUAGACAUGUAAGAAAGUAUCACCCCAUGGUCAGGCAUUCAUGGCACGAAAUUAAUGGUCAUACCUAUUCACACACUAGAACAAGGGAAAAAAGUGGUUGAGUGACUUACUUGUUGUUCCUUUGUUGCUGGGGUAGUGUCUUAGCUAAUGUCCCUUAACUCCGCACCCGAACCACUCGGUAGUGCCCCUACGACACACCCCUAGAUGAUGCCUCCUACACUUAGGGCAACGGGGCCACUACUGCAUUUUAUGUCUCCCACUUGACUGGACCUGUUGGUUAGAUUUCAUAUGGCCUUGGUCUUGCAUAUUAUGGCCCAUCGCUGCUGAUCAGGCACUGAUGGUAGCACCGAAGCUGAGGUCGGAAGAACUAACUAUGUGGGUCAGGAUAACACUCUCUUGUGUGAUUCCUUCCUACCAUUACCCCUACUAUAAGAGCCAUUAAAUUUGCUCGCAGAUCGGGCCUUUUUGUUGUUAUCUUGCUCUGUCUUUAUUUUUAACUUUAGUUCCUCUGUAGCUUGAGCGAACCCACCAUUUUCCCAUAAUUCAUAUCAGAAUUCAAGGCAGUUGUAGUUGCUUAAUUAAUAACCAAGGGGCUAAGAUCCUGCACAAACAGGCACACCCUAGCCUCUAUAGUGGGCAACAUGUGUAUCACAUACUUAGAUAGAUGCGCAAACUCCAUAUGGUACUCCCACACACUCAUACUACCUUGCUUUAGACUCUCAAACUCUGUUACACGGGCUGCCGUUGUCUCAGCAGGCAGGAAAUGAUCUACAAAGGCGUCGGCAAACUCACUCCACCUCGCCGGAGGGCUCCCCCCCUCACAGGAAUCUUCCCACAACUUAAACCACAAAUAGGCCACCCCUUUCAAAUGGUAGGUAGCCAACUCUACUCCCUCUGUCUCAGUUGCACGCAUAACCCUUAGGGUCUUGUGCAUCUCAUCUAUAAAAUCCCGGGGGUCCUCCUCUAGAUUUGCACCCGUAAACACUGGAUGAUCCAGCUGAAGAAAUCUGUUCACCCUAGAACUGGUGGAAUCCCCUUGUUGGCUAGAUGAACUGGGUGUAGCAUUUAGCCUCUGGGCCUGAUAGGCCACUAGCUAUGUCAGCAUCUGGAUAGCUCCCUAAAGAUCCCCAUCAGAAAUACCAGAAUCGGAAGUUGGGGUUGGAGGCAGAAUAGGAAUAUUAGUGGGAGGGAUAGUAGCACCCUCAAUAGAUAUAGGUACUGGUGUAGUGGAAUCGAGCAGUGUAGUAGUUGGGGGAAUGUCCUCACCCCUCGGGUUCUAAUCCGCAUCAUCAAUUACGGAAUCGACGGCUGCUCCUGGCGCAGCAUUGGCUCCUUGGUCAGUUAUUACCCUCUUCUUAGGUGCCAUGUACUGAAAGUUGAAGAAAUUCAUUAGUUAGAGGAGGAAUAGUUUCAUAACAAAGUUUUUCCGCACGAUCCAGAAUAUUAAAGAAGGGUGUUAUUCCUAAAUUCCCAAGUAGCCUCCAACUAAUAGAUGUGGUUGACAACACACCGAUAAGAAGGACUCUACCAGACACGGCUCCAAGAUAUCCUAGGACACUUAAUAACCUUAGGCUCUGAUACCAAGUUUGACACACCCCAAAACUGAGGAGCGCGACCGGUGCUCAACCGAGUAAACCCGACUGAGCAAGCCUGUUAGAUUUCAUUCUACCUAAUUUCAUCUUUGAAUAAAGAAGAGAUGUACUCCAUUAAUCUUAUUUUAACAAUAUUUCGUUAACAACUCUCAUUUCAUUUACAUUGGCAACUUCAUUCAUAAUUUCCAAAAUAUUACAAGUUUAUAGAUUCAUUAAGAACAUGUUUAGCAAAUACCAACAUUUCUAGUUCAGUUCCCAAUAUCAAGCACCACCCACAACUAGUCUACACAACCUCUAAAUACAACUGGAGAGUAAUAUGGAAAUACCAUCAAUAAGGCUCUGGUUAUACCUCAAAAUACAAAGUACAUGAGAAACACAAGAUACAGGAUCCCGAAAUGAAGUAGGGCUCACCAAGUCAGCUGGAAAGAGUGCACCGCUAUCACUGAUCGAUGCCGCCUACAAUGGGACCACCUAUAUCAAUUAAAGAUACAGCACCCCUGGUAAAAGAGAUGCUAGUGCCGUUGAAUAGCACUAAUAUGUAUAGCUAGAAGUCCUCAUACAAAAUAGAAUAACCACAUAAAAAAGGAAAUCAUAGUACGUCAAACUGCUAUAAAAUGUCCCAUAGAUUUACAUUUCAGGUAUUUAUUAUACUUACCUCACUUUGAACUUCAUUGGGGUCAAUUCAACCAUAUGAACUAUACGUGGGAUACAAAAUAUAAUGUAAUCAUAACAACAUGUAUAAGAAAGGGAAAUGAAAUAAAAACCACCUACCGUUUGUGUAAAAUAGGCAUCUCACUAAACCGUUCGGCCCUUUCUUAUUAUGCACAUAUACGUUUUAUAGACCAUUUGUAAGGUUCACAUAUUAUAUUAUACACCUAUGCGUUUCAUAUCCCAUUAGGGUUCACAUAUCAUAUUAUACACCUAUGCGUUUCAUAGCCCGUUAUAGGGUUCACAUAUUAAAUUAUACACCUAUGCAUUUCAUAGCCCGUCCAUAGGGUUCACAUAUUAUAUUAUACACCUACGCAUUUCAUUGUUCGUCCAUAGGGUUAGCAUAUUAUAUUAUACAUCUAUGCAUUUCAUAGCCCAUCCAUAGGGUUCACAUAUUAUAUUAUACACCUAUGCGUUUCAUAGUCCGUCCAUAGGGUUCACAUAUUAUAUUAUACACCUAUGUGUUUCAUAGCCCAUCCAUAGUGUUCACAUAUUAUACACUAUAAACCUUUUAUAUUGUACUUAGUUUCAUUUGUACCUUUAGCUACUCACAACAUCAUUAAUUUAUUUGCUCUUUUGGCCAUUCAUACGAUUCUUUUUUCAUGGCACAAUGACCGUAUUUCAUAUUCCACACUUUAAUUUCUUUCCUCUCAUGGAUCGUCAUCAUAAUUUUCAACAUAUAUAAUAUAUUUCAGAAAUCACAACCUUAAGUUCAUUAGAAAUGAAGACUUAAACACAAUAGAUUUCUUUCCAAUAAAUAGAGUAAAAUGAUUAGCAAUCAAAGCACAAGUUAAAAUCAUAGACAAGUAACACCAUUUAAUUCUUGAACUACUUUCCCCCAAGAGGGCGACACACAAUUUCAACUCAUGAAUAUGUAAGAGCUCAAAACACGUUGGGAAAACUUACAAGAUUUAUCAUUAGUUAACACAACCACAAUUUUGGGCAUGACUUGAGUAUAUAAGAUUUUAGGCAAAUCCACAUCCGAAAUCAUUUAUAAACACUUGAAUCAAGGCUUACUCUAUAACCUUUCUCACAUUAAUCAUUUCAUUUCAUCGGCACCGUUGGCCACCCUCCAUAUCCACAAUUCACUUAUUUAACUUCCAAACAACUUUAUAUUUUAACACCAAUACAUUUCCAAUCAAGACUUUAGGUAUACAUAUGAGCAAUUAUGAGUCUUAAGCAUAUCAAAUUUUCUCACACAAUUUGGCAUACUAGCCUUUAUUUGAAACACGACGCAAAGCCGUAACAUUUUAAUACACAAUCCAUACUUUGAUCAUAUAUCUUCAUUCAUAAGGAUAAUUUGGAAUAGUCAAGUUUAUAGGUAAUAACCCGGAAUAUAGAAAUUAGGAAUUUUGAGCCAACCAAACUUGAACUUAUGGAAACAUUUAUGGAAUUCGAUUCUAAGAGAGAAAGUUUAGCCAACAUACCUUGUUUAAGACUUCCUUAAGUUACUACAACGUUCAGGAAAUUCUAGAAAUCCCAAACUACUUUGAGACAUAACAAAAUUGAACACAAAUUAGGGAGAUAUUCAUGGUUUCAUCUCAUUUGAGAUUUUUAUCAAACACUAGUUGUGCAUCUUGAUUUCAAAGCUCUUCUACAAGAUUUCCUUCAUUCCCCAACACAAUCUUUACCUAUUUGUGUUCAACAAUCUUCCCACAAAUAUAAUUUGUACAUGCAUGCAUAGAUAAUACUAUUACACCCAAGAAUCAUACCUCAAUAACCUAUCUUAUACCCAAAACUCAAAAUUAAAGUCUAGUGUAUAGAACCUUACCUCUUAGAUGAAGAUCUUGUGAUUGGUUUCCUUGAUUAUUGAAGAUUGAUGAAAGAUUGAAUGGUUAUAAUGUUAGGCUUCUUCCUUCUCGCUCUAAAAUGCUCUCACCUCUCUCUAGAUUUAGUAUAAAUUAGCCGCAAAUGAAGCCCCAAAGUUUAUUUAUCAAUGUGUUUUCGGACAUGAAAAUUUCAAAAAAUAAACCCCGAAGUCAAUUAUGUGGUGCAAUUAUGCUAUAGCAUAAUCGAUAUGUGGGCAACAGACUUGCAACAUAAUCAUUAUGUGAUAGCAUAAUCGACAACUUAAUCAAUUAUGCGACAGCAUAAUCAAUAUGUGAUAACAUAAUAUUUUUGCCCGCCUCUGCUUCACUAUACUUCACUAUGACUUAUACAUUUAUUUACCAAAUCCAAUUGAUGUCCAUCAUGUUAAUAGCACGUAAAAUAUUAUAAUUAGCCUACCUAGCACCAUGAAAUCCUAAAUUACUUAGCGAAAUUUUCUGGGGCCUUACAAUUCUACAAAGCAUGAAAAUUUCCAAAAAUAAACCCCGGAGUCAAUUAUGUGGUGCAAUUAUGCUAUAGCAUAAUUGAUAUGUGGGCAGCAGACUUGCAACAUAAUCAUUAUGUGAUAGCAUAAUCGACAACAUAAUCAAUUAUGCGACAGCAUAAUCAAUAUGCGAUAACAUAAUAUUUUUGCCCGCCUCUGCUUCACUAUACUUCACUAUGACUUAUACAUUUAUUUACCAAAUCCAAUUGAUGUCCAUCAUGUUAAUAGCACGUAAAAUAUUAUAAUUAGCCUACCUAGCACCAUGAAAUCCUAAAUUACUUAGCGAAAUUUUCCGGGGCCUUACAAUUCUAUAAAGCGUAACAUCAUUGUAAUGAAAUACUGCAAGGUGUAACAUCAUUCCCCCUUUGGAAUAUUCGUCCUCGAAUGUUGGCUGAUGCUUUUAUCAUUUUCAUAAUUUAUAGCUCCUGUGAAUACCUCAAUACUCUCCUUUCCAUUUAGGCAGUUGUUCUGUAAAUAAAUCCAAAGGCCAGGGCAUUCCCACCUUUGGGCCUCUUUCCUACACCAUGACUUGUGAUCGAAUUCCUUUAAAUCUCAUAACUGUUGAUAUCUUCUAUCAUGUAGUCUGUAUGACAUUUUCCCUGUAAGUGCGCCUACAUGACUCUUUUGUCCUUUUUUUCCUCAAGCUUUUUGCCAAUCUCUAGGCCUCACUUUGUAAACAUAUAUAGAGCUUAAUAAGAUGUCCUUCUGGGCAUCUAUAAGCAUACUGAAGUUCUUCCCUCGGUACUUUGUCGAACAUACGAAUAAUGUUAUAUCUUAUUUCAUAGAACUGGUUAUCCAUCUGUAUGACUUUACUGCAUCAAGGUAGGUCAUAUUAUACUAUAACUCUUACUUCGUAUUAUCGUUACUCAGGUCUGCUACAAAACUUCAAGCUACUUUUAUUGCUCCUUAUCAUAGAUGUAUAAUCUAUGUCCUUUAAUACUUCUUUAUUACUAUUCAUCUUAAGAAUGACGGCCUAAUCUUACCUCAUACUUGGUGACUAUUUGUCCAUCCAUUGUCGAUUCACCUUAAUAUUGAUGUAUCAUCUAUCACUGAUAACUUGAUCUCUUAUUUAACAUUUCUACUAGGGGUUACGUCUCAUCGUGUCAUUUGAAGUGAUUGUCUUGAUCCACCUGGGGGCGAUACGAUACUAUACUUCCAUAAUCGUAUUUCAUAGCAUUACAAUGUGAUUUACCUUACAUGGUUAUUUAAUUCCUGUACAAUUCAUGAAAUCAUUACUUAAUCGAAGGCCCAAACGUCAUCCUUCAUCUAUCACAGUUACACCUUCAUUCUAUUGCCAGGGUAGCAUUCUAUCUCUUCCAAAGGCCACUAGUCUUAGACUCAUUUAGGCAAUACUGAACUUUUUAUAACUUAGAGAAACCAUCAGCUCUCUGGUUUUCAUGUAUUUAGUCAUGAGGUCUUAUGCCUUCUCAUCACCUUCUCACUUGCCCUUUCUUAUCCUUACUCCUAUCUUCUUAAAACCUUGUUGCUUUACCAUACUUUAGCUUGCGACCUACAUAUUCAUUUAUACUACUUGCAACCUUUCUUCAACUUGCUUGCACCAUAGAUUUCCUUAUGUUAUUCUGGAACAUCAAGCAAGACAUCACAUCAUCUCAAACUCUUCUUUUACUUUCUUAACUAGAUCUCUCGAUACCUAGAAACCAUAGGCUGAAAGAUAUGCUACUGACAAUGCUGCUAUCAUUCCUGGAUAUUGAAUCCCCACACUUUUAGCUUUUAAUCCAAAGUAUGGACUAUUCACAACCUUCUGCAUUUUAGUAUUUCGUACGUUGUUCACCUUUACUUACAACCUUAAAAUCUUGCAUCGUACCUUCUAUCUCUUUCAUGAACACCUUUCUACAUAAGUAUAAUUUAUGUCUAUAACUUGAAGCUCUAUUAUAAUACUUGCACCUCUGGUGCAUACACUAUCCGGUGAGCUCCGUACUGACUCCUUAUGAGGCUGUUACUUUUCCAACUAGCUUUAGCAUAGGGACAUUAUAUAAUAUGGCUAUUGUACUUUCUCUUUUGUAUCUCUGAAUUAAGAGUGAUCCUGCAAUGUUCUCAAUCAUGAUGUUCAUAAUUUCUUGGGUCCAAUAAUCAAUCUACUAAUUUACUUAGUUGAUGUAUCUCCUUAGUUUCCUCUUUCCUAUAGUCAAUCUUUAUGUAGGCUUAAACUACUAUCCGAUCUUUGGCUCCUGGUAUUAGUUAUCACUUUAGCCUUUCAUGGGCAUUAUGGAAUAUCCAUGAUACAAUCUUCUAACGACUCAAUCAUUUGUCUAUGCCCUGGGUUCAAUUCUUUCUUUUUAACUUAUACCGGAGUCUUCUAUGUCUGUAUGAUUGUCAACAUAUAAAACUUUAAACUCUUAAGUGCGUUUAUAACGUAACUAACUCUGGAUUAAUAAUGGAAUGAUUAUUUCCGUUCCUUCUUAGCUUUCUUUAAAUGUAAGCUAUUACUUUUCCUAGUCUUUCUACCCCCUUGUUGCGUCCAUACUUAGCUUAUCUUAGUGUCCAUAUUUGCCAGAGUUUUUAUACAACUCAUAUGAUAUCAAAUAUUACUUUUAAUUUUACUUCACUUCCAUUAGCCAUGGUAGGAGCCACUUUCCUUUGGAGUGCUUACAACGUUGUUAUGAGAUUGUUGUUACAUGUCCAUUUCCUUUUUAGGUCGUUGUGCUUAGGUUGAAGCCUUCUUCCUUACCUUCUCAGCUAGUAUUUCGUUGCAGUACUUAGGGAGAACCCUUGAUUCGUGUAAAGCUGUGAGCUCAUUACGGACUUUUUUGAUGUCCUUCCUUGCCUAUAAUCAUCGGUAGUUGCUUACCUCCAUGCCCUUGUGCUUGUAGGGUUGCUUCUGAACUGCUGUUUUGAUUUCCUUCCCAGUGGCACUUUCUUUUAUCCUCGUAAUACUCAUAAGGUACGUUUAACUACCCCGACUCCUAUUUGAAUAUAUCUCAAGUAUUACAAUGUUAUAACUGCGGGGCUGAAUUCACUAUAAUGGGUUGUACUAUAUUUAUAUUGCACAACUUGCUGAUUUGUCUGUAUCUUCUUGACUAGCCACAACUAGACUCUUCCUGAAUAAACUACUAAGUACUCGUUGGCCCAUUCUCAUGUCAUUACUCCACAUAAUCUUUCUGGGGUUAUUCCCUUUGUCUUUACUUAUAUCUUGCGCUGGCUCUUUAUUUUCAACAACAUCCCGGUCGAAACCCUUACUUCCUCUCCUUGACGUCAUGUUUGCAUAAUGUUCUGGAAUCAUAGCAUAUUUGUAGGAUUUGAAUAAGUGCAAUCUUAUCCCUUUCUCAUUUUUAUCGCAUUCUUCCUUUACCAUUCCAUAAUUACUAGAACCACUUAGUUCUGACUUAACGCCAAACACUCCAUAUUCCCCCCUUUAGGGAAGUACUCAGAUUUAGUGCUACGAUGAUCUAUGUAUAAAUGUUUUACCUCUUCACAUUUGGUGUCUUUUCACAUCAUUGAUGACCCUUACUCGCCUUGUGGUAAUCCUUCUGUACCAAGGAUAACAAAUUUCCUUACUCGCGAGGGUGACACUUCAUGUAACUGGCACAUACAGUCCCUUAAGCUUAACUUUGCUCAUAUUGCUUGCUUUAGGGAAGUGUCUUUCUAAAUGAUCAUUUUCUGAAUUUCUCAUGAAUCUUAUUCUAUUAUCCAUUCUAUUAUUGCCGGAACGCAAUGUGAAAUUCUCGUGAUGCCAACCAUUAUCAAAUCACUCAGUCCCUAAUUCAUGUUUAGUUUAUCUUGUUUAGCAAUCCAUACUAAUUUCUAUUACUUUGAGGUAUAACUUUUCCUUCUGUAAUUAUGUUAGAGUCACCAACUUAUUUUUCGAAAUGAGGAUGUCACUUCAUGACCUAUACUCUUUUGUUGCCUCAAGGCCUGUUACCUCUUGUAUUUGCUUUCCUUGUUUAUGGAUUCUAUAAUACUGUCAUCCUUUUGAUCUAACGUUGUCAUCCAUGUAUCACAUCUUACUCAUAAUGCUUUACUAACUCUCUUCUUAUUUUUCUGCUAACAUUUCUGUCUAUCACCUUAUUCUGAAAACUUUAACAAGACAUUCUUUUGGUUUUAGCUCCCUUUUGCUCCAUCCACUGGAUCUUCGAGCUGCCUAACAUUCUCUCUCUAAUAGGGGCGGGAGACACAAUAAGAUAAUAUUUAUCCCUUCCAGGCUUCCAGUGCCUAUCAUUGUAGUACUCAUAUAUUGUUGUACUAUUUUAGAGUGCACCAUCUGGGUGUCUCACAAGGAGAUCUAUUACCACAUUUUCAAUAUCCUUCGGAAAUGUCAACUAACACAAAUAAUCCAUUCACCAUUUUGGGUUACUCUAACCCCAAGCGGAUCCUGAUAUCUCGUCCUUUUGUUAAACUAAAAAUGCUUAUAUUGCUCUAGCUGAAUUGUAAAUACUGAUAAUCUUCAUUAACUGGGCACCUCGUACCCUUUUUUAUCUUGCUUCUUUUACUUGUUGAAACAUGUAUCUAUCUUCUGAAUCUCUCAUUCCUUAACGUAAUAGUGGAUAGACAUUCUUACCAUAGGGAUCCUUAUUAAGAAGCUUGCAAGUCUUAUUGCGCACAUGCCCUACUGAAAGCUUUACAUUUACUCAUCAUAAGCAUUAUGCAAAAUCGAGUUCCUCCGACUGAAUUCUUCCACUGAUAUAUCUCUUACGAACCGUCUUUUCGGAUGUAGGUAUCGCCGUAUUAUGAAUAAGAUAGUGUUUAGGAAACUGGGUUCUUACAACGAAGCUCUACCACACGAUCUAGAGUAAGAAGAAUAAGUGACAGUCCUAAAUGCCUUGUAGCCUCCUGCUUAUAAGUGUGGUGCACGACACACCCAUAAACAAGACUAUACUAGACACGACUUGUAGACUCCCUAGGACAGAACUACUCUGAUACCACUUUUGCCACGACCCAAAUCGAUGGGCCACGACGGGCACCUAGUACCUUACUCAACCGAGUACCAACAUAGCGUAUCUUUUCGUAUCAUACUAUCAUAUAUAAGUGAGCUGGAGAGGCUGCCAUGAAAUAGGUAGAAUACAACAUGUAAUACCAACUUAUACAUAAGACAUAUGGGCCUCUAAGACCAAAAUAACCACUCGUACACUAAGCAUAGGCCGACAAGGCCAUUCAAUCUUUUACGUACAUGAUAUUUGUCUACAAUACUCUAAGUAUACAUAAUUGUCAUAAAGGUCGGGACAGAGUCUCGCCAUACCGAACAAUAUACAUCUAAAUAAUAUUGACCAAACAAGCAACUCUGGAGCAAAUGGAGUGCACCAAGAUCUUCCACUAAGCUAAUCGCCUACAUAGAGGACUCUCGACCUGUCUAUCGAGACCUACGAGCAUGAAAUGCAGCGUCCCCAGAAAAAAGAGACGUCAGUACAAAUAACAUACCGAGUAUGUAAGGAAUGAAAAUGAGUAAAUAAUAGACAUCAGAGAAAUAUGGAGUACAAAACUUGACAUGUAUGUCUGCAUAGCUCUGUGAAUCAUUUCAUUUUUAUGAUAUUAUGCAUAUGCAUAUAAAUGUCAGGCCAUGCAUAGGAAUAUGCGUUCAUAACAUCAUCAAGCCUCUGAGGUCAUUCAUCGUAUCAUUUCGAUCACUGUGGGCAAAUUAUAAACCUAUACCAACUGAUCAAGUGGUGGUGCGUAUAUAAUACCAAAACCUUUUCCCAUAGCCCAUAUACACAUAUACGCGUACAUAAUGCCAUCUAGUCAUGGGUCAAUGUGCAUGUAUAAAUGCAUGAAAUGCAUAUGAAAUAUGUUAAUAAAAUCCCUCGGUACGUCAUAAGGCCAUUAUGCCUCUGAUUAAUAUCAUAAAAUAAACUUUAUCAACUUACGUAUUUUCUGAGACCCAUGAAUAGAUGAUAGAAUAAUAGGACACAUGGAGAAUCAAGAACAUAUGCACCUCUAAUAUUUCUAUGAAUAAAGUUAUUUUUGGAAGUUGUGCAUUUACUCGUUUAGUAUGUGUCGUAUAUAUCAUGCCAAAAGAAAUAAGGGAUAGCCUUAACAUACCUGAGCUGGUUCUCUUAACAAUUACUCUAACAUCGUUGAUUGCGAUAACACGUAACGGCGAAUUGAAGUAGGGAAAAAUUCGUAUGAUAUUGUUGAGAAAGAUUACACCGUACUCCCUUAAAAUAGUAAAAUCCCAUUGUCACACCUCCUUUUUCUACCCCGAAAGAGGUAUAGGGGAGUUUUUCCAAUUAGAUUGACAAAAAUCGAAAUAGGAUUAUUUAUUCAAAUUAAGAGUCGCCAAUUGGGAUAUUUUUUGGUGUCCCAAGACACCGGUUUAUAAUAUCGAGUCGAGGAAGUUUGACUCUGUUUUACAGUUCGCAGAAGAUAGAAAUCUGGGCAAGGAAUUUUGUUAAUCCGGGAGAAGGUGUUAGGCAUUCCUGGGUUCUGUGGUUUUAGCACAGUCGCUCAACUAUUAUUUUUUGGCUUAAUUAUCUGAUUAAUUACAUAUUUUAAACCUAUUGUGUAUUUUUACCCGUUUACUGCUUUUAAUUGUUUAUGGAAUUAUUCUAGAACAAGUUACAGUUGUUGUACACCUGUUUGUUUGGUACACAUUGCGAAUCGUAUCACGGUAACCGUACCCACAAUUUACACCAUAAUUAAAUUAUUAACAAUAUUAGUUGUUAUGGCCGGGUCAUAUAAAUGUACCCCCGGAUUUGGAAAUUAUGUACCAUAACAACGUCACAGGAACAGUAUCAAUAGCUAUGAUAAUUUUAUUAUAAACGCGCCUAAAGUGAACUACGAAUGUUCAAAGUUUUUCUACACUAGUUACGAAUGUUUUAAGUUUUUCCAUACUAGUUUUUGCAUUAAUAUAAAGGCCAUAGAUAGGUAUUCAUUUAUGAAUGAUAUGCCUCGAUUUAUUUCAAAAAAGAUUCAUACUCAACUACAGCAAACUAAGAAUUUUUAUAUUUAAAACUAAUUUGAAAUUAGCUAUCACAACUACGCUACGGGAACCGUACCCGUAGUUGUGGUGAUUCAAUUACGUGCUGAAAGCAAACUACGAAAGUUCAUACUUACCUCCUAAAUUAAUUCGCGGUUUAUUGACAGGCCACAUAUUAUAACUAAGGAGUCCAAAGUUGUGCAUGCUUUUAACCAUUGAAAUAUUGGGCCAUCAAGAGGCCUGUUAUAUAUGCAAAUCUUUGAGGAAGAUACGGGUUGCGGAUUUGGGCUCGAAAUUGAGCCCAAAAGUUAAAGAAAUCGGGAGCCAAAACCCAUUGAGCCUGGCUCCAAACACGCUGUCUCAUCUGGGCCAGAAAUGGGCCCAGUUUUUCCCAGCAUGAGAGCCUUUGAUAUUAAGGCCCACUUGAGACUUAACCUCUUCUAAAUCACAUGUAACACAAAAUGUUAUAAAAUUUUUGGAGAAAAAAAUCAAAGGCUGACCAAACAUAUUUUGCAUCUAAUUUAUCACAUGCCAUUAGUAACAAUAUAAAACUACUUAACCCAAAUUACCAAUUAAUUACAUUGAAAAAAUGUGGGUAAUUACUUCACUUGCAACCAGAGGUUCAAAUAUCACGUGACAAUUUAACAUUGAAUAUCCUUUGGAAUUGUAUGGGCUUAGACCCAAUUUACCAGAGACAAUGCACUAAUAUGAAAAAUGCCCAUGCCUUAUUAUCAAAUACUACAGUUGAACAAACUAAAUGCAAUGAAUUAAAACAUGGCCUUCGGAAGAAAGCUAAUCUCCAUAUAGCAAGGCAAUUUUGGAAAGGUGUGUGCGUAACAAACUGUCACAAAAGGAGUAGAAUCAUUUCCAUACAACUUGAUGUUUUCCUAAACCAUUAACCAACCCCUAAACCUUAUGACUCAUGCUAAGUAAAGCAGAAUGGACAUAGAAGGGACUAAAAGUGGAUCCUUAGGUCAGUAAUACACACAGUUCGUACGCAACACAAGGAUGAGGCAAAAAUCAGUGGAUACCAGGUUCUUUAUUUAAUGUUCUCAUAACUUCAAAUGUUAAACAGAGACAGAAUUUAGGAUAGAUUUAAACUUAUCUAGGUUGAACUUAAGACCAAAAUGAAUCCAAAAUAGCAGUUCCAGAACUUAACAGAACAAGGGAGCACAUGUCCACAACCAAACUUUCACUUAAAAUUCAACAAAACAAAAGAAAACUUAACAAAAAUAUUACAGGUGCACACUUAACAAAUUCAUCCUAUAUUACUAUUCAAACAGGGCUGAAUGAAAUCGCUAUACACGCCUCAGACGUUAAACAGAAUUGCAGAGAAGAUGAAGUGUAAGAAAGAAGCCACAGUCACAUGAAUCUUAUGUACCAAACACGAAUCUUCAUCUACUAGUAAAAGACAACACAUGAUAUUAACUAACCAAGAAAAGAGUUACAUGAGUUAACAAAACAUAAGGGCUAAUUACUGAUGACAUUGCUGUAUUAGUCUCAAAACAUUCAUAUCAUCACAUUUAACUUGCAGCUCAAGGUUUCAAGGUGGUACCUGGAUACAACAAGCACAACAAGAAAGUAUGUUUAGAAAUCAACAAGGUGUGAUGGACUCAGCAGCAAGGAACAACAGUAAUAAUCAAACCAACUCCAUUAUCAAAUCAUAGCUCAACUAAAGAACCCAAAAAAUCAAAAAGAAAAUGUUUUCCCAAACUUUGUAAAGAGUUAGUAAGUAGAGAAUUGAGCUGGAUUUUUUGAGAGGUUUUUAGAGUCUGUUCUCCGCCCCUUCAGUGAGGGGAAA
This 16990-nucleotide long non-coding RNA is filed under the name Nicotiana tabacum (common tobacco). RNAcentral's name for it is "long non-coding RNA (NTAB_LNC004251)". The record is from RNAcentral. Lineage: Eukaryota; Viridiplantae; Streptophyta; Magnoliopsida; Solanales; Solanaceae.